UUAAUUGAAGAGUUUGAUCAUGGCUCAGAUUGAACGCUGGCGGCAGGCCUAACACAUGCAAGUCGAGCGGUAACAGAAAUUAGCUUGCUAAUUUGCUGACGAGCGGCGGACGGGUGAGUAA
Molecule: ribosomal RNA, 121 nt
Filed under: Aliivibrio finisterrensis
Lineage: Bacteria; Pseudomonadati; Pseudomonadota; Gammaproteobacteria; Vibrionales; Vibrionaceae
Description: partial 16S ribosomal RNA
Rfam family: Bacterial small subunit ribosomal RNA
Source: RNAcentral